Molecule: ribosomal RNA, 478 nt
Filed under: uncultured bacterium
Lineage: Bacteria
Description: partial 16S ribosomal RNA
Rfam family: Bacterial small subunit ribosomal RNA
Source: RNAcentral
GACGAACGCUUGCGGCGUGCUUAACACAUGCAAGUCGAACGGUAAGGCCCUUCGGGGUACACGAGUGGCGAACGGGUGAGUAACACGUGGGUGAUCUGCCCUGCACUUCGGGAUAAGCCUGGGAAACUGGGUCUAAUACCGGAUAGGACCACUGCCUGCAUGGGUGGUGGUGGAAAGCUUUUGCGGUGUGGGAUGGGCCCGCGGCCUAUCAGCUUGUUGGUGGGGUGAUGGCCUACCAAGGCGACGACGGGUAGCCGGCCUGAGAGGGUGACCGGCCACACUGGGACUGAGAGACGGCCCAGACUCCUACGGGAGGCAGCAGUGGGGAAUAUUGCACAAUGGGCGCAAGCCUGAUGCAGCGACGCCGCGUGAGGGAUGACGGCCUUCGGGAUGUAAACCUCUUUCAGCACCGACGAAGCGCAAGUGACGGUAGGUGCAGAAGAAGGACCGGCCAACUACGUGCCAGCAGCCGCCGUAA